UGGGGAAUUUUGGACAAUGGGGGAAACCCUGAUCCAGCCAUCCCGCGUGUGCGAUGAAGGCCUUCGGGUUGUAAAGCACUUUUGGCAGGAAAGAAACGUCGCGGGUUAAUACCCCGCGAAACUGACGGUACCUGCAGAAUAAGCACCGGCUAACUACGUGCCAGCAGCCGCGGUAAUACGUAGGGUGCAAGCGUUAAUCGGAAUUACUGGGCGUAAAGCGUGCGCAGGCGGUUCGGAAAGAAAGAUGUGAAAUCCCCAGAGCUUAACUUUGGAACUGCAUUUUUAACUACCGGGCUAGAGUGUGUCAGAGGGAGGUGGAAUUCCNCGUGUAGCAGUGAAAUGCGUAGAUAUGCGGAGGAACACCGAUGGCGAAGGCAGCCUCCUGGGAUAACACUGACGCUCAUGCACGAAAGCGUGGGGAGCAAACAGGAUUAGAUACCCUGGUAGUCCACGCCCUAAACGAUGUCAACUAGCUGUUGGGGCCUUCGGGCCUUGGUAGCGCAGCUAACGCGUGAAGUUGACCGCCUGGGGAGUACGGUCGCAAGAUUAAAA
RNAcentral lists this ribosomal RNA (552 nucleotides) under uncultured bacterium. RNAcentral describes it as "partial 16S ribosomal RNA". It matches the Rfam family "Bacterial small subunit ribosomal RNA", at positions 355 to 899 of the family's 1533-position model. The record is from RNAcentral.